Molecule: long non-coding RNA, 2170 nt
Organism: Scatophagus argus
Lineage: Eukaryota; Metazoa; Chordata; Actinopteri; Scatophagidae
Exons: 2
Source: RefSeq, a predicted model, not a curated record
GGUGAUAUGUCAGCUAUCCUGUUGCUGUUACAUCUCCUGCCCCCUACAUCAAGAGGCCAGAAAAAAAUGGCUGAGAUGAGCUCAGCGCAAGUGGCAGACCACCUUUUAAGAUUUGUUAAGGAAGGAGCCAGCAUCACUACUUUUCUUGAGAAAGUGGAUCAAAGACAGCCCUUCCUCCUUUGCAUUGGUCAAGAAAAGAAGACUAUCCAAAGGUUCUUCAUCAUUGUGGACCAAAAGUCAAUCCCAUGCAAGGCUCAGACAUCAGUGGCUGCUUUUGAUGAGCUAUUCAAAGCUCACUUCAUCUUGAGUCUCUCCUAUGAUGAAGAAACCCCACGGGUCAAGGAACUUAGAGCAAGACUACUGCGAGAGCGCUGAUGUGCCAUCUGUUUUGACAGGUCAGAAAACAGUUAAAACAUUCAGGUAUGUUCAUAUGUUUUGUUUCUAAAGUGCACCACAAAAAUUGUUCAGUUCUCUGACAGCAUUUAAAAUUUUUAGCAUGGUUUAUAUCCUGCCAAAACCUUGCGUUUAAAAUGCGGAGAGCAAGGAUGUACAUCAUCUUUUUGUACAUACAGUGGCUUCAGAAAGCACGUUAACGAUGCUCAUAGGCAAUUCCAUGAUCAACAAGUUGAUAUUAAUCAAGAAACAGCAUCACAAAGACAAUUUGAGAUUGAAAUUUCAAGUGAUCAGGCAACAACUUCUCACUCCAUGUUGCAGGUCCCACCUGUAUCCUCCCAUAAGGUGGUUGAUAAAAGUGACAUCUCAUCAAUGUGUGGGUCAAUUGUUGCACAUUUACAAGCCUCUGGUCUUUCUGAAAGCACUGUACAAACAAUAGUUUGUUCAAUGGAGGAAGUUAUUUGUGAUGUUCAGAGCCAAGCAAGAGAAACGGUUCUCCAGACAUUUUCUCCUGAAUAUAAGGGUUCAGACAUUUAUCAAAAAAUAGAGCAAAAUUUAAAUCAACUAGACAAUCCUUCACAAAACUUCACAUUGAACAUUGCAGUGCACCAAGCGAGAUCCUGCUCUACCAGCUGUUUACGGUAUUAAAAAACCUUGUGUGCUAAAUUCAUUAGAAUAUUAUUACAGCACUGAUAACUAUGCUGUUGAUAUAAAGCAUGAUUUGCUAGAGGGGGUCGUACAGUAUGAGCUUAAGCUGUUUUUUCAGUACCUUUUAAAAAAACCUUUCUUUGAACAUUUUGUCAGAGAGGAUACAGAGCUUUAAUUAUGGUUAUACAGAAUGUAAAAACAAACCAGGUGGGUUAAAAAUGGACGACAACACAAAGCACUUAGGUUUAAAUGCCAUUCAGUCAUGGUGUGUUUUGCGCAAUACGCCUCUUAUAUUUGGUGAUAUAGUUGAAAGGGGAAAUAGUUACUGGAACCUUGUUCUUCUUUUGUUGCAGAUUGUUAAUAUUGUGUUCUCCCCAAUCCUUACUGAUGGCAUGAUAUGUUACUUGAAACAUCUGAUUUGUGACCACCAUAAGAUAUUCAAGUCCUUGUAUCCUGAUAGAAAUUUGAUUCCCAAACACUAUUUGAUGAUUCACUAUCCAAGAUGUAUUAGGAAAAAUUGGUCCUCUUUUUCAUAUGUGGUGUAUGAGAUUCGAAGGAAAACAUAAUUUCUUUAAAAAAUCUAUUAAAAACUUCAAAAACUUAACUAAAUCUUUAGUGAAGCAACACCAGCAUCAAAUGGCAUUUUCCUAUGAAAAUUACUAUUUUAAGAGAUUUGAAUUUGGUCCUAUAAAAAUUAAAACACUUGAUGGCUUAAAAGGUGGAGAAGGGUUGAGUCAGUUACUAUAUAUGGACACAUCUUCAGAUGUUUCAACAACCAGCUGGGUGAACUGAGUAUCAUGUAGAUUUGUUCAUUUGCACUGGCACAUCCAGUGACCUACCAGUUUUCAAAAAGAUCUGCAACAUUGUAAUAUAUGAACAGCAUGCUUUUCAUAUAUUGUGCUGUUAAUACAGUGUAUUUUGAUGACCACUUUCAUGCAUUUUGUAUAGAGGAGAAAAAUAAUGAACAUGAUGUCAUCUGUGUAAAGUUGACUUAUUUUAGACCCUUUGAUAAACAAUACUCUAAUGACAGCGAGGUAGCAUACAUUGUUCCAUACUGUUACAUGUUUUAACAGUAUAUUUUAAAAAGUUAAUGUGGUGCAGAGUUUUAAAAAUAAAUGUUUUAACCUUA